This 776-nucleotide ribosomal RNA is filed under the name uncultured Neocallimastigales. Its description in RNAcentral is "partial large subunit ribosomal RNA". It matches the Rfam family "Eukaryotic large subunit ribosomal RNA", at positions 22 to 639 of the family's 3401-position model. The record is from RNAcentral. Lineage: Eukaryota; Fungi; Neocallimastigomycota; Neocallimastigomycetes; Neocallimastigales.
UAGAUGCGAGAGUAGAGCAUAUCAAUAAGCGGAGGAAAAGAAACUAACAAGGAUUCCCCUAGUAACGGCGAGUGAAGCGGGAAGAGCUCAAAUUUGAAAUCUUCAAGGUUCUACCUUGACGAAUUGUAGUUUAUAGAAGUGUUUUCUGUUAGUAGAGUGGCAAAAGUUCUUUGGAAUAGGACAUCAUAGAGGGUGAGAAUCCCGUAUUUGGUCAUUCCUCCUAGCGUUGUGAUACACUCUCAACGAGUCGGAUUGUUUGGGAAUGCAGUCCAAAAUGGGUGGUAAAUUUCAUCUAAAGCUAAAUAUUGGCGAGAGACCGAUAGCGAACAAGUACCGUGAGGGAAAGAUGAAAAGAACUUUGAAAAGAGAGUUAAACAGUACGUGAAAUUGUCAAAAGGGAAGCGUUUGACACCAGUGUUGUUUUUCCGAAAAUCAAUUACGAAUGUUUUGUUUUUGAGGAGUUAUGACUUCAUCGGCUUGCUCCUUUCUUUACGAAACUUUCUUAAUGCACUUUUCGGUUAACAAGUCAACAUCAAUUUCUUUUGUUGUAAAAGGGUAUGAGGAAGGUGGCUUUCUUUUCGGAGAAAGUGUUUAUAGCCUUGUAGCCUCUACAAUCGGAGAGAUUGAGGUCUGCAGCGUAGAUCCUUCGGGGUUAGAUACAGUUUGUGCUAAGUUAUAGCUUUUCAUAGACAACUUGUUGACUAUGUUUAGUCUUGUAGCUUACUCGCUUAUGCUAUUUUACCUACGCUUAGGAUGUUGACGCGCGUGUGUGCGUG